Molecule: ribosomal RNA, 2895 nt
Filed under: Klebsiella pneumoniae
Lineage: Bacteria; Pseudomonadati; Pseudomonadota; Gammaproteobacteria; Enterobacterales; Enterobacteriaceae
Description: bacterial LSU rRNA
Rfam family: Bacterial large subunit ribosomal RNA
Source: RNAcentral
UUAAGCGACUAAGCGUACACGGUGGAUGCCCUGGCAGUCAGAGGCGAUGAAGGACGUGCUAAUCUGCGAAAAGCGUCGGUAAGGUGAUAUGAACCGUUAUAACCGGCGAUGUCCGAAUGGGGAAACCCAGUGCAAUUCGUUGCACUAUCGUUAACUGAAUACAUAGGUUAACGAGGCGAACCGGGGGAACUGAAACAUCUAAGUACCCCGAGGAAAAGAAAUCAACCGAGAUUCCCCCAGUAGCGGCGAGCGAACGGGGAGCAGCCCAGAGUCUGAAUCAGCUUGUGUGUUAGUGGAACGGUCUGGAAAGUCCGACGGUACAGGGUGAUAGUCCCGUACACCAAAAUGCACAGGCUGUGAACUCGAAGAGUAGGGCGGGACACGUGGUAUCCUGUCUGAAUAUGGGGGGACCAUCCUCCAAGGCUAAAUACUCCUGACUGACCGAUAGUGAACCAGUACCGUGAGGGAAAGGCGAAAAGAACCCCGGCGAGGGGAGUGAAAAAGAACCUGAAACCGUGUACGUACAAGCAGUGGGAGCACCUUCGGGUGUGACUGCGUACCUUUUGUAUAAUGGGUCAGCGACUUAUAUUCUGUAGCAAGGUUAACCGUAUAGGGGAGCCGCAGGGAAACCGAGUCUUAACUGGGCGUUAAGUUGCAGGGUAUAGACCCGAAACCCGGUGAUCUAGCCAUGGGCAGGUUGAAGGUUGGGUAACACUAACUGGAGGACCGAACCGACUAAUGUUGAAAAAUUAGCGGAUGACUUGUGGCUGGGGGUGAAAGGCCAAUCAAACCGGGAGAUAGCUGGUUCUCCCCGAAAGCUAUUUAGGUAGCGCCUCGUGAACUCAUCUUCGGGGGUAGAGCACUGUUUCGGCUAGGGGGUCAUCCCGACUUACCAACCCGAUGCAAACUACGAAUACCGAAGAAUGUUAUCACGGGAGACACACGGCGGGUGCUAACGUCCGUCGUGAAGAGGGAAACAACCCAGACCGCCAGCUAAGGUCCCAAAGUCAUGGUUAAGUGGGAAACGAUGUGGGAAGGCACAGACAGCCAGGAUGUUGGCUUAGAAGCAGCCAUCAUUUAAAGAAAGCGUAAUAGCUCACUGGUCGAGUCGGCCUGCGCGGAAGAUGUAACGGGGCUAAACCAUGCACCGAAGCUGCGGCAGCGACACUAUGUGUUGUUGGGUAGGGGAGCGUUCUGUAAGCCUGCGAAGGUGACCUGUGAGGGUUGCUGGAGGUAUCAGAAGUGCGAAUGCUGACAUAAGUAACGAUAAAGCGGGUGAAAAGCCCGCUCGCCGGAAGACCAAGGGUUCCUGUCCAACGUUAAUCGGGGCAGGGUGAGUCGACCCCUAAGGCGAGGCCGAAAGGCGUAGUCGAUGGGAAACAGGUUAAUAUUCCUGUACUUGGUGUUACUGCGAAGGGGGGACGGAGAAGGCUAUGUUAGCCGGGCGACGGUUGUCCCGGUUUAAGCAUGUAGGCUGGUUGUCCAGGCAAAUCCGGAUAAUCAAGGCUGAGGUGUGAUGACGAGGUACUACGGUGCUGAAGUAACAAAUGCCCUGCUUCCAGGAAAAGCCUCUAAGCAUCAGGUAACAUCAAAUCGUACCCCAAACCGACACAGGUGGUCAGGUAGAGAAUACCAAGGCGCUUGAGAGAACUCGGGUGAAGGAACUAGGCAAAAUGGUGCCGUAACUUCGGGAGAAGGCACGCUGGUGUGUAGGUGAAGUCCCUGCGGAUGGAGCUGAGACCAGUCGAAGAUACCAGCUGGCUGCAACUGUUUAUUAAAAACACAGCACUGUGCAAACACGAAAGUGGACGUAUACGGUGUGACGCCUGCCCGGUGCCGGAAGGUUAAUUGAUGGGGUUAUCCGUAAGGAGAAGCUCUUGAUCGAAGCCCGGUAAACGGCGGCCGUAACUAUAACGGUCCUAAGGUAGCGAAAUUCCUUGUCGGGUAAGUUCCGACCUGCACGAAUGGCGUAAUGAUGGCGCUGUCUCCACCCGAGACUCAGUGAAAUUGAACUCGCUGUGAAGAUGCAGUGUACCCGCGGCAAGACGGAAAGACCCCGUGAACCUUUACUAUAGCUUGACACUGAACAUUGAGCCUUGAUGUGUAGGAUAGGUGGGAGGCUUUGAAGCGUGGACGCCAGUCUGCGUGGAGCCAACCUUGAAAUACCACCCUUUAAUGUUUGAUGUUCUAACGUUGGCCCCUGACCGGGGUUGCGGACAGUGUCUGGUGGGUAGUUUGACUGGGGCGGUCUCCUCCCAAAGCGUAACGGAGGAGCACGAAGGUUAGCUAAUCCUGGUCGGACAUCAGGAGGUUAGUGCAAUGGCAUAAGCUAGCUUGACUGCGAGCGUGACGGCGCGAGCAGGUGCGAAAGCAGGUCAUAGUGAUCCGGUGGUUCUGAAUGGAAGGGCCAUCGCUCAACGGAUAAAAGGUACUCCGGGGAUAACAGGCUGAUACCGCCCAAGAGUUCAUAUCGACGGCGGUGUUUGGCACCUCGAUGUCGGCUCAUCACAUCCUGGGGCUGAAGUAGGUCCCAAGGGUAUGGCUGUUCGCCAUUUAAAGUGGUACGCGAGCUGGGUUUAGAACGUCGUGAGACAGUUCGGUCCCUAUCUGCCGUGGGCGCUGGAGAAUUGAGGGGGGCUGCUCCUAGUACGAGAGGACCGGAGUGGACGCAUCACUGGUGUUCGGGUUGUCAUGCCAAUGGCACUGCCCGGUAGCUAAAUGCGGAAGAGAUAAGUGCUGAAAGCAUCUAAGCACGAAACUUGCCCCGAGAUGAGUUCUCCCUGAGACUUUAAGUCUCCUGAAGGAACGUUAAAGACGAUGACGUUGAUAGGCCGGGUGUGUAAGCGCAGCGAUGCGUUGAGCUAACCGGUACUAAUGAACCGUGAGGCUUAACCU